This 2166-nucleotide ribosomal RNA is filed under the name Triticum aestivum (bread wheat). RNAcentral describes it as "partial small subunit ribosomal RNA". Lineage: Eukaryota; Viridiplantae; Streptophyta; Magnoliopsida; Poales; Poaceae. The record is from RNAcentral.
AUGCAUCCACUCUUCUGUUCUUCUGCCUCCAACAGCAUGAGCAGCAACAAGUUCUCGACGCCCAUCCAUGGCCUUGCCCUCGUUCUGCUGAUCACCUCCUUGGCCUCUACCACCAGCUCCUGUAGAGAGCAGGAAAAAACCUCCCUCCUUCGGUUCCUGGCCGGGCUCACUCAGGACGGUGGUCUCGCUGCGUCAUGGCGGAAUGGCACAGACUGCUGCACAUGGGAAGGCAUCACCUGCAGUACCGUGGAUGGCAUGAUUGAAGAAGUCUCGCUAGCCGAUAGAAGGCUCGAAGGGCGCAUAUCGCCGUCCCUAGGCAGCCUCGCUAGCCUGUCACGCCUGAACCUCUCCCACAACUCCUUGUCUGGGGAGGCACUGUUGUCGUCUCACAGCAUCGCCGUCCUCGACGUGAGCUUCAACCGGCUCAGCUGGAACCUGCCACAAGAGCAACCGUCUUCUUCAGCUCUUGACCGCCGACAUAUGCAGAUGCAGGUGAUCAACAUCUCAAGCAACUCCUUCACAGGGCAACUUUCACCAGCCACAUGGGGAAUGAUGGAGAAUCUGGUUGUGCUCAAUGCCAGCAACAACAGUUUCACAGGAUCAAUCCCAUCUUUCUUGUGCCAGAGCGCGCCGUUCCUAACCGUGCUUGACAUGUCCUACAAUAAAUUCAGUGGCAGUGUUAGGCCAGAGCUUGGUAAGUGUUCUAUGCUACGGUCGCUGAAGGCUGGCCGCAACAACCUCACCGGGACUCUCCCAGAUGAGCUCUUCAAUGUCACCUCAUUGCGACACCUCUGUCUUCCCAGCAAUGGGCUACAUGGAGCACUUGAUCCUGCACUGAUAAUCAAACUCAUCAACCUGGUUGUCCUCGACCUUGGAUGGAAUAUGAUCAGUGGUAACAUCCCAGAUUCCAUAGGACAGCUCAAGGGACUCAAGGAGCUCAGAUUAGAACACAACAGCAUGUCUGGGGAGCUGCCAUCGGCUCUCGGCGACUGCAGAAGUCUUGUAACCAUGAACCUCAACAACAAUGACUUCAGUGGGGAGCUUGGCAAGAUCAAUUUUUCCACCCUCUCCAAUCUGAAAACCUUGAAUGUUGGGUGGAACAACUUCACUGGCAUAAUUCCAGAGAGCGUCUACUUGUGCAGCAAACUGACUGUGUUACAGCUAUCUUUCAAUAAGUUACGUGGCCAGCUCUCGCCCAGAGCGCGUCACCUGAAGUCCCUAACCGUCCUAUCACUUGCUGGAAACAAUUUCACAAAUAUUAAGAGCGCACUUCAGAUCCUCAAGAGUUCUAGUGAUCUCACCACCUUGCUUAUUGGGAGCAACUUCAGAAAUGAGGAAAUACCAGGGGAUGAAACAAUUGAUGGUUUUGAGAAUAUUAAGGUUCUUGCCAUGGAAGAUUGCCAGUUGUUUGGGAAGAUCCCUCUUUGGAUAACAAAUAUCAGAGAUCUGGAGAUGUUAUUCUUGUUUAAUAAUGAGCUAACCGGAUCUAUUCCAGUUGGAAUCGGCACCUUAAACUUCCUAUUCUACAUAGACCUAUCAAACAACGGCCUUACGGGGGAGAUUCCAGCAGGCUUAAUGGAGAUGCCAAUGCUGAGAUCAGAUACAAUCACGACAAGUUUAGACCCAAAGGGCUCUGAGCUGCCUACUUACAGCGGUCCUUCACCUCAAUACUACACUCUAGGUGCAUUCCCAGCAUUGAUGAAUCUAGGCAACAACAACUUAACAGGUGUGAUACCCCCAGAGAUUGGACAGUUAAAGGCACUUGUGUCACUCAUCUUGGGCUUCAACAGAUUGUCUGGAGAGAUCCCACGAGCAAUCUCUAAUCUCACAAACCUGGAGGCGCUAGAUCUGUCAAACAAUCAUCUCACCGGUACCAUUCCAGGCGCACUGAAUAAUCUACACUUCCUUUCUAGAUUCAACAUUUCCAAUAAUGACCUGGAAGGGUCUGUUCCACAUGGAGGCCAGUUCGAUACCUUUCCGAGCACGAGCUUUGAUGGAAACUCAAAGGUUAUUUUCCGAGCCACGACACUGAUCCGUUCGUGGUCGCUACUCACUCAGACGGAGGCCAGGGAGCAUUUGGUUACUGGAUCUCUCCGCUGGGAGAUGGUAGCUCGGGAUAUCUUCAACCGGUUUGGAUGGCGGUCAUGUAAUAGGAUAGGCAAUUAG